UCUCUCUUCUGGUCUGCGUAUGUUCAGGCGAUAAAACUAGGGUUUAGAUAACUUUCAAUCAUCGAUCGUAUUAGCCGAGAAACAUCACAAAAAUCUCUUUAAUCUUCUCAAUACCUUUCAAUCAUCGAUCUGUGUUGUCUUGUAUGAUUAGGUGUCCCUGGAUUUCAGUUGGCGGACUACGAAGACUGAGGUUUGAGUAGCUGGAGUUGAUGUGGGAAUUUAUAUUACUCUUUUGCAACCAUUAAUGUCUCUUUUACAAAAUUACGUUUAUGCUUUUCAGAGAUUUUGUCAUAUAUGUCUCUUAAUCUAGAUUUUGUCUCAUAUAUGUCUCUUUUGAACAAGAAUUCCAGCACGAUAUUCGAUUUCGCAGUUAAGAUUAUUUAAUUUGAAGUGUGCCAGCUUGUGUAUCAACUGUCCUGCACUUUGGAAGUUUUGUUUUCAAGAAGUAUGACAACUUACAACUUGUUUUGGCCUUAGUUUCUCAUGUAGGGUUUACAGCACAUUGAAUUACCAAUCUAUAGAGAUUUUUGUUUGAUUUUAGAGUCUAUCAUGAAAUCUGGAAUUUACUCGUAACUCCAGUGAGUAGGCAUCUUUAUGGUCUUUAUAGGUAUGCUAGAGCUUGACUUAGUACAUGUUGUCUUAACGAAAAUUAUAGAGGAGUUUGCUAUCUUUCUAAAGAGCUAUUGGGUGUUUAAUCUGAAUCAAGGGUGAUUAUUUUAUACACCCCGAACCCUAGACCCUCGUGCUGUUUACAAGAGCGUUAGAGAUUGAAAGUGAAGUGAGUUAUAAUCAAACUGCAUUGUGCAGGUCUUACUCCAUAUACAUGGCUGCAUUUGCGUGCGUUGAUUUUCUUUGAUGGACAUCAUUAGCUUCACUUAAUAGAUGUUUACAUACUAUCUUGUUGUUUUAUAUCCUCAGAAGUUUUGGAGCUUCUGAGACCAUCUGCUAGAUAUACAGUGUCAAAAGAUGCUGGCGAUUUCAGUGAUCGUGAAAAAGGUAGAUAUACCCUGAUCAAAGAUUCAGAUGACCACCCUCUAGGAUUGUAUGAUAAAACUCUUCCGUGUUUUGGCUGUGGGAUUGGAUGGUUCUCGAUUGCAUUUAUCAGUUGGCUCGAACGUGCCCAGCACCUCAAGAGAUGUAGCCUCGCAUACUCCAUGCGGUGUUUCUGCUUCACCUAAAAUAGGUUCACAUGCUGCGACAAGUUCACCUGUUGGGAAUACUGUAUCACCAGCUGCGACAAGUUCACCUGUUGGGAAUACUCAAUCACCAGCUUCAUCAAGAGUACGUGGUUUUCCGCUUUGUUCAUUACUGGACUACGAGGGUGAAGUAAGUGCAACUGGUGAGCUAUGUACUGGUUCUUUAUCUAAUCAGUUUCAUGGAGAUCCUAUACCUAUACAUCUUUCCAAGGUAUGUAUCGAUGAUAUUCUUAAGCCAGAUGCAAACAUUAUGAGAUCUAACAAGUAUGCAGCGACCUUCAGAGAUGUUGGAAUUGUCCUGUGCAAUUAUUUACUAUAUUUAUGUUAUUGACUCAUUGUCCUGUAGUUUUAGCACUCAUUGUCUGCAUUUUAUUUGUAAUUGACUUUGUAAUUGCAGACUUUGCGAGUUGCCUGGCUCAGAUGACGAUAAUUUUUAUGAGAAGCUUCUAGUAUCUGGUCUCAAAGUGGAUGGGCUAGAAUGACAAUCUUGUUUCCAACCUUUUCCAGUGGAUUGCCUACUGCCUACAUCGAGUUUUUUGAUGCCCAAUCUUUCAACAAACCAAGCCUGCAAAGGAUAUAUAACUUAGUUGUGGUUAGUCGAAUGAUGCUCUAUUUGAUCAGAAAGGGUGGAGAACAAAGCAUCUUCAAGAUUUGUAAGUUGCAGUUAUUCAAGUUUUGUAAGCAGUUAGUAAGUUUCUGUUUUCCGUUAGAAAUGUGGAACCUUCCAUGUAUUCCCUUAGAAAUCUGAUACUUGACAAAAAAAAAAAAUUUGGUAGUUAGAGA
This is a long non-coding RNA of Papaver somniferum (opium poppy), 1979 nucleotides long. RefSeq lists it as uncharacterized. The record is from RefSeq and is a predicted model, not a curated record. NCBI's taxonomy places the organism in Eukaryota, Viridiplantae, Streptophyta, Magnoliopsida, Ranunculales, Papaveraceae. The transcript is spliced from 5 exons.